This is a long non-coding RNA of Ipomoea nil (Japanese morning glory), 399 nucleotides long. RefSeq lists it as uncharacterized. The transcript has 3 exons. NCBI's taxonomy places the organism in Eukaryota, Viridiplantae, Streptophyta, Magnoliopsida, Solanales, Convolvulaceae. The record is from RefSeq and is a predicted model, not a curated record.
CAACAUUUAUGUUCUAAGCCUAAGUAAUAGUUUAGUAUUUAGUUUAGUGUCUGUUUAAAAUGUUAAAUAACCUCUAAGAAUGUUGAAUGAGAUUCCAGUCAGAGUUAUGUAAAGGAAGACAUAGGCUUCCAAGGUAAAUUUGUUUGUAGGACAUGAUCAGGUUAAGACACAGGCUUCAAAGGCCAUCACUAAAUGAAGACUCUACAUUCCAAGGUAAUUUUUGUAAAUACAUAUUGAAUUAUUGUUGCAAAUGAACUUUGCACUAUUUAAAGAUCAAUUUUUGGAAGUUCAUUUCUUUGUAGGACCCAAUUGGAUGAAGACAUACACUUAAAAGCUAAGUUUUUCCACUUAAUUACUGGGUUUAUUGAAAUUAAAAUCAAUUUAGUAUUAUUAGCUAAU